Molecule: transfer RNA, 63 nt
Filed under: Aparapotamon binchuanense
Lineage: Eukaryota; Metazoa; Arthropoda; Malacostraca; Decapoda; Potamidae
Also listed under: 2 other names
Description: tRNA-Leu
Source: RNAcentral
GCUAUUUUGGCAGAUAAUGCACUAAAUUUAGGAUUUAGUUAUAUAGGGAGUCUAUAAAUAGUA